UUCGAGCAAUAAGACAGAACUGAAAUAGAGAAAAGUUCACAUCACCAACUUGUACUUUGAGCCUCCAGUUCUCCUGAAAUUGACAACAUUUUUCCGCUAAAACUGACUAGAGGACCAAGAAAUCUCACUUUGCAAUUGGGACGCAUUAGAAGAUGGAAUGGAAUUAGUGAGUUCAAGCUUUAAGAGUAGACAAAGCUAGUGAUAAAGCUCCAUGGAAACUCUCCUCUCUGCUCAACUCUUUCUCCUGCAAUCUCUUUGAUCUACCUCAGGUUGUUUUUGUCCAUAAAUUGAGGGAAGCAAGUAUGGUUGCUGAAUCUUUAGCUAAACAGGGUCAAUCUCGUAAGCCUGAUUUUGUGGCCUUGUUUUAGAAUUGUUUUGGCUUCAGACUUUUUUCUUGUUCUACUAUUUUUUCAAUUUGGUUGGUUGGCUCCUCUUUUGCUUUGGUCUCUUGAUGUUCUCUGCUUUGGCCUUUUUGGAGUGAGGUGCUUGCUGUUUUACGUCUGGUUUUUUGGGGAAUGCCUGUUGGCAUGGGUUAGGUGGCAGCUCUCCUCACCUCCUGUAUGUUUCUUUUUUAAAAUAAAAUUUCUCGCUUAUAUAUAUAAAAACUAGUGAUAACUGUUGCUUGUGAAGCUUGAGCCAUGAAAUAUUUUGAAACAUCCUUCAAUUAAAGAUUUGACUAAAUGAACAAUUGAAUUCGCUUUGGGAUUAGAACCAUUAGAAGAUGGAAUGGGACUUUGUCCAUAGUGCAAAAGCGGCUUUCCUUGUUGCAGUUGUUGUAUACCUCAUUUGAUAUGAGAAGAAUGUGGAUUCAAUUUUUGCAGUAUUUGAG
This 829-nucleotide unclassified non-coding RNA is filed under the name Hevea brasiliensis (rubber tree). Lineage: Eukaryota; Viridiplantae; Streptophyta; Magnoliopsida; Malpighiales; Euphorbiaceae. The record is from RNAcentral.